AAAAAGGUAAGCUAAAUCCCUAAGCUGACGGGCUCAUACCCCGUUUAUGAAAACUAUUUCUCUUUUUA
RNAcentral lists this transfer RNA (68 nucleotides) under Plesionika lophotes. RNAcentral describes it as "tRNA-Met". Lineage: Eukaryota; Metazoa; Arthropoda; Malacostraca; Decapoda; Pandalidae. The record is from RNAcentral.